UUGAACGCUGGCGGCAGGCCUAACACAUGCAAGUCGAACGGUAACAGGAAGAAGCUUGCUUCUUUGCUGACGAGUGGCGGCCGGGUGAGUAAUGUCUGGGAAACUGCCUGAUGGAGGGGGAUAACUACUGGAAACGGUAGCUAAUACCGCAUAACGUCGCAAGACCAAAAAGGGGGACCUUCGGGCCUCUUGCCAUCGGAUGUGCCCAGAUGGGAUUAGCUAGUAGGUGGGGUAACGGCUCACCUAGGCGACGAUCCCUAGCUGGUCUGAGAGGAUGACCAGCCACACUGGAACUGAGACACGGUCCAGACUCCUACGGGAGGCAGCAGUGGGGAAUAUUGCACAAUGGGCGCAAGCCUGAUGCAGCCAUGCCGCGUGUAUGAAGAAGGCCUUCGGGUUGUAAAGUACUUUCAGCGGGGAGGAAGGGAGUAAAGUUAAUACCUUUGCUCAUUGACGUUACCCGCAGAAGAAGCACCGGCUAACUCCGUG
This 489-nucleotide ribosomal RNA is filed under the name uncultured bacterium. RNAcentral's name for it is "partial 16S ribosomal RNA". It matches the Rfam family "Bacterial small subunit ribosomal RNA", at positions 30 to 507 of the family's 1533-position model. The record is from RNAcentral.